This is a non-coding RNA of Acanthosepion pharaonis, 113 nucleotides long. The record is from the annotation of a GenBank genome assembly. Lineage: Eukaryota; Metazoa; Mollusca; Cephalopoda; Sepiida; Sepiidae.
UUACGGUCAUAUUGCGUUAAAACAACGGUACCUGUAUGAUCACCGAAGCUAAGCAACGUCGAGUCUUCUCAGUACCUAGAUGGGUGACCACUUGGGAAUUCCAAGUGCUGUAA